RNAcentral lists this ribosomal RNA (441 nucleotides) under uncultured bacterium. Its description in RNAcentral is "partial 16S ribosomal RNA". It matches the Rfam family "Bacterial small subunit ribosomal RNA", at positions 338 to 795 of the family's 1533-position model. The record is from RNAcentral.
CCUACGGGAGGCAGCAGUGGGGAAUAUUGCACAAUGGGCGAAACCCUGAUGCAGCUACGCCGCGUGAAGGAAGACGGCUCUCGGGUUGUAAACCUCUGUUCUUAGUGAAGAAUAAUGACGGUAGCUUAGGAGCCAGUCACGGCUAACUACGUGCCAGCAGCCGCGGUAAUACGGAGGGUGCAAGCGUUGUCCGGAAUUACUGGGUGUAAAGGGAGCGCAGGCGGGAAGCCAAGUCAGCUGUGAAACCUACGGGCUUAACCUGUAGACUGCAGUUGAAACUGGUUGUCUUGAGUGAGGUAGAGGUUGGCGGAAUUCCGAGUGUAGCGGUGAAAUGCGUAGAUAUGCGGAAGAACACCGAUGGCGAAGGCAGCCAACUGGGCUUUAACUGACGCUGAGGCUCGAAAGUGUGGGGAGCAAACAGGAUUAGAUACCCCUGUAGUC